UAAAGGGCGUAAGGUGAAUGCGCUUGGCACUGAAAGCCGAUGAAAGACGUGAUAAACUGCAGCUGCGAGUGGCAACAAUACACGGUGAUCCGAAAGAUAUCUGAGAUGCAACCCACAUGAGCGAACCUCAUGUACCGUAUACUGAAUCCAUGGGUAUACGGAGGGACCAGUGAACUGGAAACUUAUCUAAGUGUGGAUGAAGAGAAAAGCAAAGGUGAUUCCCGCAAGUGGCGGCGAGCGAGACAUGGAGGAGCCCAAACACGGAAUGCUUGCAUUCCGGGUUCGAGACUGCCGGACGUGACUAACGAGGCCAAACAGAGAUGGUGCUGGGAGAGACGCAACCAGAGAGGGUGAAGAGUCCCGUAUAAGUGAAGGUGAGAGGAGAGCACAGCAGGAUCAGAGUAAUACGAGACACGAAAAACCUUGUAUGAACAGCAUGAGGACCACCCCGGCAAGGCUAAAUACUCCUUAGUGACCGAUGAGAGAUGAGUACCGUGAGGGAACGGUGAAAAGAACCCGGGAGGGAGUGAAGGAACCUGAAACCUUGUGCCCACCCUACAGCUGCGAGAGGACAGUGAUCGUCGAGCGCAUAAGAGUCCUGAUCGUGUACUUUUGUAGAACAGUCCGGCGAGCAUGUAAUGCCGGCGAGGGUUAGAGUGAGAUGAGCCGAGCGAGGACCGAGGUGUGAAGGCGCGCUGAGGUCGGUAUAUAUGGGCCCCGAGGCUUGGGUGACCUACCCAUGACCAGGAUGAAGCGGCCGUAAAAAGGCUGUGGAGGUCCGAGACACAUCCGUUGAAAGGGUGUGGUGAUGGAGUUGUGGGUGGGAGAGAUUCAAUCAGACAGAGAUGAGCUGGUUUCUCCCAGAGUAUAGCUUUCAAGACUAGCCUGAUGGCAUGCCUGAUGGAGUGCCACUGCAGACGUCUAAGGGGGCUUCACCGCUUACCGAGACCAUCAAAGCCACAGAUGCCAUACAGGAAGAGGCAUCAGGGGUCAGACUGCACGAGAGAUAAGUUGGGUGAGUCAAAGGGAAACAGCCCGGAUCUACAGCUAAGGUCCCAAAGUACGACGUUAAGUGGAAAAGGAUGCUGGGAUUUCAAAGACUAGCUAGGAUGGCAAAGGCUUAGAAGCAGCCACACAUUCAAAGAGUGCGUAGUGGCUCACUAGCCGAGAGGUCGCGCCGAAAAUUGCCAGGGGCUGAAACAUACAGACACAGAGCUUGGGGACUGGGCCAUAUCUACGGGUAUGUUUUGUCGGUGAGGGGAGACAUUCACAGGAGGAAGACCAUGCUGAGAGGAGUGGCGGACUGCUGCUGAGGAGGAAUGCCGGAAUGGGUAGCAGGAUGAGGUGAGAAUCCUUUCGCCGAAUAUCCAAGUUUCAGAUGGCUGUGCAGUCUGCCCUGAGGAAGUCGGGACCCUAAGGCCGAGGCCGAGGGACGUGGCCGAUGGACAUGCAGGUUGAGAUUCCUGCACCUGGGUAAAUCAGAAGGCAGCGCACGGGUAGUAGGUCGUGCGAGAGAGAGCCCGGUGCAAGCAGAAGCUGCCAGUGGGAGUAAAUCCCUACCAGGAGAGGCAGAUGCGUGAUGCGGAGCAGAAAUAAAAGUAGUAGAUGGACUUAGAGGGGCACGUCGAGAAAGAAGUCGCUAACUGUGUGUUUACUCAGCCCACGUACCGUAAACCGACACAGGUGGAUGAGGAGAAAGUCCUAAAAUGGGCGAGGCAGUGCUAGGAACUCGGCAUCCACCAUGCUGAGGAGGAGAGAGCGCGAGGAGGAGGAGCGCGCGCGCGAGAGAGCGAGCGCGAAGAGGAGGAGAGGAGCGACCUGCGAGAGCAGGCCCGCAGAGAAGAAGGCUCAAGCCAGCUGUUUAGCAAAAACACAGGUCGUCUAUGCAAGAAACCGAGAAAGGGUGAGGUGUAUGGGCUGACGCAUACUGCCCGGUGCUGGAAGAAGGUUGAGAGGAGAGGUUGGCGCAAGCAGAAGCUUUUCAAUUUAAGCCCCAGUCGACGGCGGCAAUAGCUAUAGCUGAGUCCUAAAGGUAGCGAGGAAUUCCUUGUGUGCAGGUGGCGGUUCCGAGCCCACUUUGAAAGGCAUGUGGAUGAUUUGAGGCACUGUCUCGGCAGGACUCGAGUGAGAAAUUGAAAGUACCAGUGAAGAUGCGGUUACGCGCCAGGACGGAAAGACCCCAUGGAGCUUUACUCCAGCGUGAUCUGAGUUUCAGUAGCUGCAUAUGUACAGGAUAGGUGGGGAGACGAAGAAGUGAUGACGUCUGGUGGUGCCGGGUCGUCUGUUGGGAUACCACGCUUGCGUUACUGGGUUUCUAACCUGCGGCCGAUGAAACCGGCGGGGGACAAUGUCUGUGAGUUUGACUGGGGCGGUCCUUGCUCAGCCGAAGGGUAUCAGGGGCUCAAAGGGAUUCCUUCAGGAUGGACGGAAACCAUCCGAAGGAGUUGCAGAGGCAGAAGGAGUCCUGACUGUGACACCGACGGGUGGAGCAGGUACGAAGAGUGGGACUUAGUGAUGCUCGGUGGUGGCAUGAAAUUGGGAUUGCCGUCGCUCUAGCGGAUCAGCUACCCUGGGGAUAACAGGCUGAUCACUCCCAAGAGUUCACAUCCGACGAGAGUGACUGCGGCACCUCGAUGUCCGACUCCAUCGCAUCCUGCUUUCUGCUUGAGGUCCCAAAAGGGUUGGGCUGUUCGCCCAGUAAAAGCGGUACGCGAGCUGGAGUUCAGAGCACGUCGUGGAGACAGUUCGGUCCCUAUCCAGCACUUGAGCGUGGGAUAUCUGAGAGGAGCUGUCCUUAGUACGAGGAGGACCACAGGAUGGACGGACCGCUGGUGUAUCUGCUGCGUUGUGUGAGGCAGUCAAGCCAUGUCAUCGGCAGGGACCGACAUGAAGGCAUCUAGCGUGCUCAAGAUGGGAUUAUCCCGCCUGCAGGGCAUGGGAUCCCUUGGAAGGUACACAAGGUGGAUGGAGGCGGGAAGGGUGUAGAGUGCUGGUAGCCCUGCUCACGGCUGAGCUCCGUACUAAUGCAGAUCGAGAGGCUUGU
This 3043-nucleotide ribosomal RNA is filed under the name uncultured Oribacterium sp. RNAcentral's name for it is "Bacterial large subunit ribosomal RNA". It matches the Rfam family "Bacterial large subunit ribosomal RNA". Lineage: Bacteria; Bacillati; Bacillota; Clostridia; Lachnospirales; Lachnospiraceae. The record is from RNAcentral.